Molecule: ribosomal RNA, 253 nt
Filed under: uncultured bacterium
Lineage: Bacteria
Description: partial 16S ribosomal RNA
Rfam family: Bacterial small subunit ribosomal RNA
Source: RNAcentral
UACGUAGGGGGCAAGCGUUGUCCGGAUUUAUUGGGCGUAAAGAGCGUGUAGGCGGCCAAGCAGGUCCGCUGUGAAAACUCGAGGCUCAACCUCGAGACGUCGGUGGAAACCGUUUGGCUAGAGUCCGGAAGAGGAGAGUGGAAUUCCCGGUGUAGCGGUGAAAUGCGCAGAUAUCGGGAGGAACACCAAUGGCGAAGGCAGCUCGCUGGGACGUGACUGACGCUGAGACGCGAAAGCGUGGGGAGCAAACAGG